RNAcentral lists this long non-coding RNA (455 nucleotides) under Linum usitatissimum (flax). Its description in RNAcentral is "long non-coding RNA (LUSI_LNC008002)". The record is from RNAcentral. Lineage: Eukaryota; Viridiplantae; Streptophyta; Magnoliopsida; Malpighiales; Linaceae.
UAAAGCUUCAGUUCGGCUACUUUCAUUCGUUCCUCGAGCUUGCAGUUUCUCGAACUCCAAGCUGCGGCAACUGUCAGAGCCAUACAUACUAAAACAGGCAAUAACAGAAAAAAAGAACUAAAUCUCUAACCAAAAUUUGUCUCUUAACAAACUCUCGUAUGUCUUUCUUGCUUCAUCUUUCUAACGAUAUGAAGAUUACAGAGAGAGAUGUGCCCUAUCAAAAGCCAAAGAACCCUAGCUCACUGGCCUUCUCCUUCUCAAAGGUCUCGAAGUACUGGUAAAUUAUGGUCACGGCAAGCAGGAUUCCAGUUCCUGAACCGAUUGCACCCAUGAAGUCAGCCAGGACCGUCAAUGCACCGAUGCACAUUCCUCCGAAGGCGGCUGCCGUCGGGAUGUAUCGGUUCAGCUCCUUCUGCAGGUUCCCAUCUCGGUGUCCAGGCAUCACCAUUUGUUGC